AUCCGACUGACGAGUCCUAGAUAGGAUGAAACACGCAUCCUGGAU
This is a non-coding RNA of Schistosoma haematobium, 45 nucleotides long. The record is from Rfam. Lineage: Eukaryota; Metazoa; Platyhelminthes; Trematoda; Strigeidida; Schistosomatidae.